Long non-coding RNA from Orcinus orca (killer whale), 369 nucleotides. RefSeq lists it as uncharacterized. The record is from RefSeq and is a predicted model, not a curated record. The transcript is spliced from 3 exons. Lineage: Eukaryota; Metazoa; Chordata; Mammalia; Artiodactyla; Delphinidae.
AAGGGAGAGUGAGGGGGCGGGGCCGGGAACUCGCCAGUAGGCAAGGGACGCUACCUGUUGAUUGGUGUCUGCAGAACAGACCCGUUUUUCUACGGUGAUCAGUUGAAGAAUAUCGUCAUUUGUUGAAUUGAACCAGUGCCCUUGACUUCUUAGAAGAGGUGAAGGGAAUUGAUCACAGUAAAAUGUACAGUAAUCCAUUUCAAACUCUGGCUUUCGUGGAUUUAGACCAGGCUCCCCCAGAGGUAAAAAUGCCCUUUCUUCUGAGGACACGGUGGAGUUCUUGUUUGUGGCUCCUUGUGCGGAAUUGAACCAAGGUGAUCGCAGCGACCAAAGGCUGCCGGAUUUACAACGUCUACCUACAGUUAACAG